UCGGGGUUACAGCCUUGCUGAAUUAUUCACCCUUGUCUUUUGCGUACUUCUUGUUUCCUUGGUGGGUUCGCCCACCACUAGGACAAACAUAAACCUUUUGUAAUUGCAAUCAGCGUCAGUAACAAAUUAAUAAUUACAACUUUCAACAACGGAUCUCUUGGUUCUGGCAUCGAUGAAGAACGCAGCGAAAUGCGAUAAGUAGUGUGAAUUGCAGAAUUCAGUGAAUCAUCGAAUCUUUGAACGCACAUUGCGCCCUUUGGUAUUCCAAAGGGCAUGCCUGUUCGAGCGUCAUUUGUACCCUCAAGCUUUGCUUGGUGUUGGGCGUCUUGUCUCUAGCUUUGCUGGAGACUCGCCUUAAAGUAAUUGGCAGCCGGCCUACUGGUUUCGGAGCGCAGCACAAGUCGCACUCUCUAUCAGCAAAGGUCUAGCAUCCAUUAAGCCUUUUUUUCAACUUUUGACCUCGGAUCAGGUAGGGAUACCCGCUGAACUUAAGCAUAUCAAUAA
RNAcentral lists this ribosomal RNA (504 nucleotides) under Alternaria arborescens. Its description in RNAcentral is "eukaryotic LSU rRNA". The stretch from base 138 to 291 matches the Rfam family "5.8S ribosomal RNA". The record is from RNAcentral. Lineage: Eukaryota; Fungi; Ascomycota; Dothideomycetes; Pleosporales; Pleosporaceae.